Molecule: ribosomal RNA, 497 nt
Filed under: uncultured bacterium
Lineage: Bacteria
Description: partial 16S ribosomal RNA
Rfam family: Bacterial small subunit ribosomal RNA
Source: RNAcentral
GAUGAACGCUGGCGGCGUGCCUAAUACAUGCCAGUCGAGCGAACAGACGAGGAGCUUGCUCCUCUGACGUUAGCGGCGGACGGGUGAGUAACACGUGGAUAACCUACCUAUAAGACUGGGAUAACUUCGGGAAACCGGAGCUAAUACCGGAUAAUAUAUUGAACCGCAUGGUUCAAUAGUGAAAGACGGUUUUGCUGUCACUUAUAGAUGGAUCCGCGCCGCAUUAGCUAGUUGGUAAGGUAACGGCUUACCAAGGCGACGAUGCGUAGCCGACCUGAGAGGGUGAUCGGCCACACUGGAACUGAGACACGGUCCAGCCUCCAACGGGAGGCAGCAGUAGGGAAUCUUCCGCAAUGGGCGAAAGCCUGACGGAGCAACGCCGCGUGAGUGAUGAAGGUCUUCGGAUCGUAAAACUCUGUUAUUAGGGAAGAACAAAUGUGUAAGUAACUAUGCACGUCUUGACGGUACCUAAUCAGAAAGCCACGGCUAACUACGUG